GAUGAAGAACGCAGCGAAAUGCGAUAAGUAAUGUGAAUUGCAGAAUUCAGUGAAUCAUCGAAUCUUUGAACGCACAUUGCGCCCCUUGGUAUUCCGAGGGGCAUGCCUGUUCGAGCGUCAUUAUAACCCUCAAGCUCAGCUUGGUGUUGGGGCCUGCUGCACUGGCAGCCCUUAAAAUCAGUGGCGGCGCCAUCUGGCUCUAAGCGUAGUAAUUCUUCUCGCUAUGGAGUCCUGGUGGAUGCUUGCCAUCAACCCCCAAUUUUUCUAUGGUUGACCUCGGAUCAGGUAGGGAUACCCGCUGAACUUAAGCAUAUCAAUAAGCGGGAGGA
Molecule: unclassified non-coding RNA, 329 nt
Filed under: soil metagenome
Description: partial contains 5.8S ribosomal RNA, internal transcribed spacer 2, and large subunit ribosomal RNA
Rfam family: 5.8S ribosomal RNA (bases 1-120)
Source: RNAcentral